GAUGAACGCUGGCGGCGUGCCUAAUACAUGCAAGUCGAGCGAACGGACGAGAAGCUUGUUUCUCUGAUGUUAGCGGCGGACGGGUGAGUAACACGUGGAUAACUUACCUAUAAGACUGGGAUAACUUCGGGAAACCGGAGCUAAUACCGGAUAAUAUUUUGAACCGCAUGGUUCAAAAGUGAAAGACGGUCUUGCUGUCACUUAUAGAUGGAUCCGCGCUGCAUUAGCUAGUUGGUAAGGUAACGGCUUACCAAGGCAACGAUGCAUAGCCGACCUGAGAGGGGGAUAGGCCACACUAGAACUGAAACACGGUCCAGACUCCUACGGGAGGCAGCAGUAGGGAAUCUUCCGCAAUGGGCGAAAGCCUGACGGAGCAACGCCGCGUGAGUGAUGAAGGUCUUCGGAUCGUAAAACUCUGUUAUUAGGGAAGAACAUAUGUGUAAGUAACUGUGCACAUCUUGACGGUACCUAAUCAGAAAGCCACGGCUAACUACGUG
This 497-nucleotide ribosomal RNA is filed under the name uncultured bacterium. RNAcentral describes it as "partial 16S ribosomal RNA". It matches the Rfam family "Bacterial small subunit ribosomal RNA", at positions 28 to 507 of the family's 1533-position model. The record is from RNAcentral.